GGCAGAGCUAUGUCCUCUUCUGCCUGCCUGGGCACAUCAUGUCUUUUUCGGCACUUUCCACCAAGCCAACAAUGUGAGGACAUUUGCAUCUCUGAGCUCCAGUGCUCAGACACCAUUUUAAGCUAGACUUAGUAUGUCUUUAGUAUUGCCAUUUUAAGCCUGGCUGAACAAAACUGCUGUAUCUGUUACUCUUCAACAAGUAUUCUGAAGCGUGGAGAGAUCAGCCAGCACCACAGACAGCUCCAGGCCCAACUUCCAGGCUGCCCUUUCAGAUCCACAGCACUGGAGUCCCCACUGCACAGAGGGCAAAAGGGAAAGCUGCUCUUCUUGGGACCUUCUUCAGAGGAUGCUACGAAGGCUACUCUGGAAAGGCCAGCCCUGCGGGGAACCAGCAAGCAGAUCCAAGCACAAGAGCAGCCCUCCCCUCUGGUGGGUUCCAGCCACUGGGAUUCAGAAGAAGCUUUGCUGCCUCCCAUUGAGAAGGUGGUGAUACAAGGACGAGUGCAAUCGACACAAGGCAAUAUCCCCAAGGCAACUAUCUGUAAACAAACAAUAAAUGUCCAUAAAAAUGGCAAAAGUAGUUUCUUUCCCAAAUAGGUUUUAUCUUAAACCAUUGCAAACGCAGUAAAUAAAGAGAUCACUUGUAAUAUGUCAGUGGUUCAGUGCUCAUUGCUUCUCUUUCCAAAAUAGAUUUUAUCUUGAACAAUUGCA
Non-coding RNA from Podarcis muralis (Common wall lizard), 711 nucleotides. The record is from RefSeq and is a predicted model, not a curated record. NCBI's taxonomy places the organism in Eukaryota, Metazoa, Chordata, Lepidosauria, Squamata, Lacertidae.